This is a long non-coding RNA of Labeo rohita (rohu), 1089 nucleotides long. RefSeq lists it as uncharacterized. Lineage: Eukaryota; Metazoa; Chordata; Actinopteri; Cypriniformes; Cyprinidae. The transcript is spliced from 2 exons. The record is from RefSeq and is a predicted model, not a curated record.
GAGAACGUUCUGAAAAAAAUCUGAUUAAAAUUUUUUGCCAUAUCGCCCAGCCCUAAUAUAUAUGUGAUUUAGAAUGUGAUUUAGACAACGAAAUGCUCACUACUACACUAACAUGUUUUCACACUUGUAUAAAGACUAUACUUUGGUGGCAAAAAGUUUUUUUUUCUUUGGUCAUGUCAAUUGUUGCAAGAAUGCUUCUGCAUCCAUUUAUUCAUCCAUGCAUUCAUCCCUCUCUUUCUCUCUCUCUUUAGUGCCCUUCAUAGUCUGACCUCCAGAUGGAGUCACCACAGGGGUGGGAGGGUGAUGGAGAGAAAAUGAAAGAGUGCAGGGGGCUGCUGGGAUGAGAUGAGCGUGAGCUCUCUUCGUGACUGGGACACAAUGACAUCACAUGAAGUGGCUUUAUGUUUACUGUGAGGUGCUAAUGAAAAGAGCACAGCGGUGUUAAUUUACCAGCACACGACUCACAGACAGUUAGUCAGACUGAGAGAGAGAGUGAGAUUACAACAUGGCCACCAAAAACAGAUAUGACAGUCUCGCACAAAGCGUCACAUAAUUUGAAUAUUUUUAGACCCACCCUGCUCCCCAAGGCCCAGUAAGGAGGAUACACCAUAGAGGACCUCAGUAGCUCCCCUCGUUUCCCCAAGCCCCUGAAAAUGUCCCUGGGUGACACAUGACACAUUUUUGUGAACAUCCUACGAAAGGAGAUUACUGAUGACUGGGGCAUGGUUGACAUGGUUUUUAAAAGCUGAACUUCUUUUAACUUGUGCUGUAUUGUUACACAAAAGACGCAUUCAUAGUGCAUGUUCACAGAGAAAAAAACGGUCCAAUAUGGAAAAACAGCAUAUUGGAAUGCAAAAACAUGUUUAUAAAUCCAUCAUGAAGUGGAUCUUAAAGGGGUCAUCGGAUGCCCAGUUGAUAUGAUUCUUUAGGGUGUUAAUGAAAAGUCUCUAAUAUACUUUGGUUAAAAAUUCUUAAUGGUUUUGUAAAACAACACCCUUUUUACCUUGUCAAAAUGAGCUCUGCAAAAAUCAUCCCAAUCUGAGGGAUUGUUCCUUUAAAUGCAAAUGAGCUCUGCUCGCCCCGCCCCCU